GAUGAACGCUGGCGGCGUGCCUAAUACAUGCAAGUCGAGCGAACGGACGAGAAGCUUGCUUUUCGGAUGUUAGCGGCGGACGGGUGAGUAACACGUGGAUAACCUACCUAUAAGACUGGGAUAACUUCGGGAAACCGGAGCUAAUACCGGAUAAUAUUUUGAACCGCAUGGUUCAAAAGUGAAAGACGGUCUUGCUGUCACUUAUAGAUGGAUCCGCGCUGCAUUAGCUAGUUGGUAAGGUAACGGCUUACCAAGGCAACGAUGCAUAGCCGACCUGAGAGGGUGAUCGGCCACACUGGAACUGAGACACGGUCCAGACUCCUACGGGAGGCAGCAGUAGGGAAUCUUCCGCAAUGGGCGAAAGCCUGACGGAGCAACGCCGCGUGAGUGAUGAAGGUCUUCGGAUCGUAAAACUCUGUUAUUAGGGAAGAACAUAUGUGUAAGUAACUGUGCACAUCUUGACGGUACCUAAUCAGAAAGCCACGGCUAACUACGUG
Molecule: ribosomal RNA, 497 nt
Filed under: uncultured bacterium
Lineage: Bacteria
Description: partial 16S ribosomal RNA
Rfam family: Bacterial small subunit ribosomal RNA
Source: RNAcentral